RNAcentral lists this transfer RNA (77 nucleotides) under Sodalis sp. Ffu. RNAcentral describes it as "tRNA-Pro". It matches the Rfam family "tRNA". Rfam says of the family: Transfer RNA (tRNA) molecules are approximately 80 nucleotides in length. Their secondary structure includes four short double-helical elements and three loops (D, anti-codon, and T loops). The record is from RNAcentral. Lineage: Bacteria; Pseudomonadati; Pseudomonadota; Gammaproteobacteria; Enterobacterales; Bruguierivoracaceae. RNAcentral also lists the same sequence under 2 other names.
CGGCGAGUAGCGCAGUUUGGGAGCGCAACUGGUUUGGGACCAGUGUGUCGGAGGUUCAAAUCCUCUCUCGCCGACCA